Cavia aperea (Brazilian guinea pig) is the source of this 86-nucleotide microRNA precursor. Lineage: Eukaryota; Metazoa; Chordata; Mammalia; Rodentia; Caviidae. The record is from Ensembl.
UUGGUACUUGGAGAGAGGUGGUCCGUGGCGCGUUCGCUUUUUUUAUGGCGCACAUUACACGGUCGACCUCUUUGCAGUAUCUAAUC